RNAcentral lists this transfer RNA (72 nucleotides) under Neodangemannia microcystis. Its description in RNAcentral is "tRNA-Met". It matches the Rfam family "tRNA". From Rfam's summary of the family: Transfer RNA (tRNA) molecules are approximately 80 nucleotides in length. Their secondary structure includes four short double-helical elements and three loops (D, anti-codon, and T loops). Further hydrogen bonds mediate the characteristic L-shaped molecular structure. tRNAs have two regions of fundamental functional importance: the anti-codon, which is responsible for specific mRNA codon recognition, and the 3' end, to which the tRNAs corresponding amino acid is attached (by aminoacyl-tRNA synthetases). tRNAs cope with the degeneracy of the genetic code in two manners: having more than one tRNA (with a specific anti-codon) for a particular amino acid; and 'wobble' base-pairing, i.e. permitting non-standard base-pairing at the 3rd anti-codon position. The record is from RNAcentral. Lineage: Eukaryota; Viridiplantae; Chlorophyta; Ulvophyceae; Oltmannsiellopsidales; Oltmannsiellopsidaceae.
GCCUGUUUAACUCAGUGGUAGAGUGCCCGUCUCAUACGCGGAGUGUCACUAGUUCGAAUCUAGUAGCAGGCA